UACGUAGGGGGCGAGCGUUGUCCGGAUUUAUUGGGCGUAAAGAGCGUGUAGGCGGCCAGGUAGGUCUGCUGUGAAAACUCGAGGCUCAACCUCGAGACGUCGGCGGAAACCAUCUGGCUAGAGUCCGGAAGAGGAGAGUGGAAUUCCUGGUGUAGCGGUGAAAUGCGCAGAUAUCAGGAAGAACACCCGUGGCGAAGGCGGCUCUCUGGGACGGUACUGACGCUGGGACGCGAAGGCGUGGGGAGCGAACAGG
Molecule: ribosomal RNA, 253 nt
Filed under: uncultured bacterium
Lineage: Bacteria
Description: partial 16S ribosomal RNA
Rfam family: Bacterial small subunit ribosomal RNA
Source: RNAcentral